Oncorhynchus gorbuscha (pink salmon) is the source of this 2298-nucleotide long non-coding RNA. RefSeq lists it as uncharacterized. The transcript is spliced from 2 exons. Lineage: Eukaryota; Metazoa; Chordata; Actinopteri; Salmoniformes; Salmonidae. The record is from RefSeq and is a predicted model, not a curated record.
UGUUUUGGCUUUGUCAUUAUGUGGUAUUGAGGGGAUAAUUUAUUUUAAAUCCAUUUUAGAAUAAGGAUGUAACGAUGUGGAGAAGGUCAAGGGGUCCGAAUACUUUCCGAAUGCACUGUAUAUACUCUGUCAACAUGAACUUGCCACAUUUCUGCAUAUCUAAAUGUUGAAAGGGUUCUUUGUAUCAAUGAAGAUGUCAUUUAGGUGGUACAAAUGGUAAGGAUACAGAGUUUCUCCACUUUAACAUGUUAUUCUAGUGCCUGGUUGUUUCUGCCUCAAUUCAGCCAUUUUCCCCCAAAUGACAUCUGAUCUCUAGUGUCUUUGCCCUGUGAGUCAGUAAGCACAUCAACAGUGUAUGUGGUGUUGCGUGUCCUUCUGUCCAUGUAGGUCAAUCACUAAGGUUAAAUUUGUGUUCUUUGAGGACAGGCAAUACCAAGCAGAGUGUCAAACAACCCCAGAACUCACUGUCUGCACUAUAGAGAGAUGAUUGACAAUUCAAUUAAAUUGUCAGAAUUGACAGUCCUUACCCAAAAGUUCAAAUUUUGAAUAUUCUUUUGAACAAUCAUUUAUAUAAUUUUGUUUAAAUAUUUAUACAGAAACAUGCAUGUAUAUUUUUGUCAGAUAUAUAUUUAUGUAUGUUCAAAUGUUUUUUAUUUUUAAAAGCUGCCCAAAUAAUUAUUCGGUUUAAAAUGAUUCUCUCAAAGGCUAAAAGGUAGAGAUUGUGUUAUGAGAGAAAUAACUUAUUUUUGUACCAUGAUGAUAUACAAACUCUACCAAAUAGAGAGAGAUGUCUGUAGGAAGGUACACUGAGGAGUGGGGGGGGUGAAAGGCAGAGAAGGGAUUCCAAUACAUGAACCUAGUAUAAUUUCUAGAGUUGCAUUAAAAGCCUUUGAGGUUACAUUUCUGUUCGAAGGUCUUAGGCUUGUGGUACAUGUUACCCACCUGACUGGUUCCCAUGUAUAAUUGUGUCAUUGAAAGAGGGGCCUGGGUUUUAAUCGCUAACUCUGAGUGUCUAACUGAAUGUAGUAAUAACUUGAACUGAAAAGCCCACCAGCCUCAGUCAAGUUUUGUUUAUAGAAACUUUGUGUGGUGUUGUUUACAUCAACUUUGUGCUGUUUAACUAUGUGCCUCAGUCUACGUUUCAGUUGCUCACUUCAAGGGUAUGAAACUGUCAUUUGUAUUAUAUGCCUGUUUGAUGUGAGAAAUUGUCUCCACAGAUUAUCAAUUACAAUUGAUAUCCGCUAUUAUUGGUAUCAAAUGAAGAUUUUAAGGUCAAGACAGUCCGGUCUUAUUGAAAAAUGGGCUAGAAAACAACCUACAAAUAGCUUGCGUGAAAGUGGGGAUAUUUUCAGACUUUCAUUGUCUCUAAAAAACAACUUUGAAAGGAGAGGUUAUGUUUUCAUUAACAAUGAAUAUCGUUUGUGCUUGACUUUCUCCAUUCUCUCUGUUUUGAGCUUUUACAAUGUUAUUUUGUCAGUUGAGCUGUUUACUUUCAAGUACAUGUGUAUAGCGGUUUGCGAAUCCCUUUCAAUUUCUAAGAUAUAAACUGGGUGAUUGGAACCCUGAAUGCUGAUUGGCUGAAACUCAUGGUAUAUCAGACUGUAUACCAUGGGUAUGACGCAACUGCUCUAAUUAAGUUGGCUUUUAAUAGCAAUAAGGCACCUCGGGGGGUUGUGCUAUAUUGCCAAUAUAAUGUAACGACCCUGGGUUUAUACGCGCGGAAAUCGACUCUGCCGCAUGAGCAUGCUUUUGCGAUACAGUCGAUAGCGCGUCGGACCUCGGGCUCGAAGGUCGAGGGUUCAAGACCGGCGCCUUGCUGUUUGUACUUGGCCGGACGCGCUCUUUGAAAGGAGGGAGUAAGCGCGGAAAUCGACUGUGCCACACGAGCAUGCUUCUGCGGCAGAGUCGAUAGCGCGCCGGACCUCGGGCUAGAAGGUCUAGGUUUCGAGGCCUGCUCCCUACCAUGGCUAAGUGGUGCGAACCUCUGUCGUGAACAUACCACAGGCCUUCUUGCUUAAUUAUACAUUCUAUUUCAAAGCUUGUUAUCAUGUUGCAAAAGUGUCUCUACAAUGUUUUGUGGAGUAAGUUACAACAUUAUGUUUACAAACAUAACCUUGUGGUCAUCAGAACAGUAUUUAACUAAAUUAAAUAGAUUGUGUACUGACAGUUUCAUGACCAUUUGUAUUCUUACACAUGAGAACAUGUACUAUUUAAACUAUUUUAGAUCUGUAAAUGUGUCAAGAGAAUGUACUGUGUAUAAAUGUUUUGUAAGUAAAUUUGAAUCAUCCAAAAUGAAAA